UAAGCGGGCCGGGCCCCUCUGGCGGCAGACCAUAAUAUGUCAGGUUUGCCGUGAUGUCGGACCGCAUCG
This is a regulatory RNA element of Micavibrio aeruginosavorus ARL-13, 69 nucleotides long. It matches the Rfam family "terC RNA". The record is from Rfam. NCBI's taxonomy places the organism in Bacteria, Pseudomonadati, Bdellovibrionota, Bdellovibrionia, Bdellovibrionales, Pseudobdellovibrionaceae.